UGACCUUAAAAUGACCAAUUGUCAUCUACUAGUGCUGGCCAACCUUCAUGUCCAGUUUGAAGACUGUAAGUCCAAGCAUAAGAAAGUUAUACCAUGAAAUAAGAAUUUUAACAUUUUUACAUUCAAGGUCACGGUGACCUUGACCUUAAAAUGACCAGUGGUCAUCUACUAGUUCUGGCCAACCUUCAUAUCAAGUUUGAAGACUCUAGGUCUAAGCAUACCAAAGUAUUAACAACUUUAACAUAUUUACAUCCAAGGUCACAGUGACCUCGACCUUCAAAUGAAUGACCUUGAAAUGACCAGUGGUCAUCUAAGUGUGCUUGCAAACCUUUACGUCAAGUUUGAGAUUCUAGGUCCAAGCAUACCAAAGUUACAACAAUAUUAACAUUUUAACAUUUAAGUUCACAGUGACCUUGACCUUCAAAUGAAUGACAUUGAAAUGAAUGACCUUGAAAUGACCAGUGGUCAUCUAAGUGUGCUUGCAAACCUUUACGUCAAGUUUGAGAUUCUAGGUCCAAGCAUACCAAAGUUAUAACAAUUUUAACAUUUUAACAUUGAAGGUCACAGUGACCUUGACCUUCAAAUGAAUGACAUUGAAAUGAGCAGUGGUGAUCUUCUAGUACUGGCCAACCUUUAUGUCAAGUUUGAAGACUCUAGGUACUAGCAUACCAAAGUUAUAACAUGGAAUAAGAACUUUAACAUUUUUACCUACCAAAGUUAUAAGAACUUUAACAUUUUUACAUUCAAGGUCACAGUGACCUUGACCUUAGAAUGAAUGACCUUGAAAUGACCAGUGUUCAUCUAAGUGUGCUUGCAAACCUUCAUGUCAAGUUUGAAGACUCUAUGUCCAAGCAUACCAAAGUUAUAACAAUUUUAACAUUUUAACAUUUAAGGUCACAGUGACCUUGACCUUCAAAUGAAUGACAUUGAAAUGACCAGUGGUCAUCUUCUAGUACUGGCCAAUCUUUAUUUCAAGUUUGAAGACUCUAGGUACAAGCAUACCAAAGUUAUAACAUGAAAUAAGAACUUUAACAUUUUUACAUUCAAGGUCACAGUGACCUUGACCUUCAAAUGAAUGACCUUGAAAUGUCCAGUGGUUACUUACUAGUUCUGGCCAACCUUCAUGUCAAGUUUCAAGACUCUAGGUCCAAGCAUACCAAAGUUAUAACAACUUUAACAUUUUUACAUUCAAGGUCACAGUGACCUUGACCUUCAAAUGAAUGACCUUGAAAUGUCCAGUGGUUACUUACUAGUUCUGGCCAACCUUCAUGUCAAGUUUCAAGACUCUAGGUCCAAGCAUACCAAAGUUAUAACAACUUUAACAUUUUUAUAUUGAAGGUCACAGUGACCUUAACCUUCAAAUGAAUGACCUUGAAAUGACCAGUGGUCAUCUGUUAAUCCUGGCCAACCUUCAUGUCAAGUUUGAAGACUCUAGGUCCAAGCAUACCAAAGUUAUAACAACUUUAACAUUUUUAUAUUGAAGGUCACAGUGACCUUCACCUUCAAA
This is a long non-coding RNA of Dreissena polymorpha, 1507 nucleotides long. RefSeq lists it as uncharacterized. The record is from RefSeq and is a predicted model, not a curated record. The transcript has 2 exons. Lineage: Eukaryota; Metazoa; Mollusca; Bivalvia; Myida; Dreissenidae.